This 6481-nucleotide long non-coding RNA is filed under the name Gallus gallus (chicken). RNAcentral describes it as "lncRNA (ENSGALG00010004874.1)". Lineage: Eukaryota; Metazoa; Chordata; Aves; Galliformes; Phasianidae. The record is from RNAcentral.
ACAUUACAAGGUCGGCAAUCCACAACUCCCGCAAAGUUACAGGUUUCCCAAUUGUUGCUCAACCCUCAUCACGUAGGCCUAGCAACAUUCUGUUACCCAGUCCCUCAAAGCAACAGGCUGCCUAGCAAUUUCUGGAAUGACAACAUAACAUCCCAUAUCACACUUGCAGGCUCUUCCUGUGAGCAUAAAGCUGGCUACCUCAUGAGAAUCACCUUAUGCUGCACUUCCCAGAGAGUUCCUUAGGACACCAGAACUGAAGUCAACGGGAAUUUUGGAGGUGUGAAGAGCUACUCAGAAGAAGCAAGGAUUUUCCAGUCUCCUGUAUGGUAACUGUUGAGUCACGACCUGAACCACUGAUUGAGCACCUGGGGAAAGGACCUGGUCAGCCCUGAGAGCACAGGUGAAGGCAAAGGCAAAGGAGUGGAGCUUGGCUGCUCUUCUCUUAGACCUCAUUUAACAGCUGACUGCCACUAAGGAAGGAUCUCUUUCUGGAGGUUCCUCCUUUGCGUUUUCUCCUGGGAACCUGGAUCUUUGGAGAUGGGUGAGCAGUCCUUUCUCCUUUCUUUAUAACGCCUUUCUGUAGCCUUGGUCCCUCUGUCAUCGCACCUCUUGUAUCACCUUUCCAUUGUGUUGGUUUUUCUGACUGUUACAUCUGCUAGCAAAGUAGUUGAGCCUUACUGACUUUACACUGCCUGAAUUAAGUCACUUGUAACAUUUCAGAUCAGGUGAGAAAGGCAGCUUCUGACAGGAAAAAUCUUGGGAAUUCAUGAGACUCAACUAGUUUCAGAAUCUAAAUUUACACCAUGACCAGUCUCAGUGCUGAGCAAGUCAAGAUUUUGGAAUAUUUCCAGAGUAUCUGCAUAUGGGCAUACAGUUAUGUGCAGUCAGGUUUUGACAACACUAGGUUGAUAGUUAAGUUUCUGUAAUCGUUGAGUGUUAUUGACUAUAAGUUGCCUCAUUUUACCUCAUGGUAAAAUAUACUACUACAUGCCUUAGCUAAACAGUUUUAGGAGGUCCAUUUUUCACCUGGGACAUGCCAGGAGUACACGGGCAUGGGCUAAGCUGAUGAACACUAAUAACUCAAAACCAUUGCCAUUAUAACUCAGAAAUGUUAAAUACUGUUUGCACCUUUUUUUUGAUCUUGCAACACCAAAGCAUUAUUCAGAUUGAUUCUCUCAGCCUCAGCUUAUCUCCACCUCUAGCUUCCUCUUUUUCAAGCUCAGAAACUGUUAAAAAAAAAAAAAAAAAACAAUGUGAAGAAACACAUUUUCUCAGAGGGAGGCACAUGAAGCAAAGAAGGCUUUAAUCACUACUGCUUUGCCUUUUUCAGAUGGGAGUUAUUUCAUUUAUACAUGCCCAUAGAGGUGAAUGUUGCUGUGGGUGAUGUAACGUGUGAGCCCUGAUUAUGGCUCUCCACCCACCGACUGUACAGCAGCACUCACCUUGUUCUUAGCUAUUCUUAUGCUACAGGGGGCUCUCUACCUUUGUAAGUUGAUUUAAAAAAAGAUUAUGGAAGGAGAACAAAGAGUCUUGAGAAAAUCUCUUCUUGCUUUCUUGUGUUUCAAAGAUACACAAUUUGUCUUGGAAAUAAAAUGUAAGUGUCACUACUCCUUGUAGUGCUUCUCCCCUUUUUCCCUGAAGAGGGGAAGUAGUAGAAACUAAAACUAUAUAAUCUUGACUGUAGUUUAAAAUAGCUAGUAUAAUUAGUCCAAACUAUCACUGCAAGAAAGCACAUACAUCAGUGAAAUAACAUCUGCCAUUCAGUGCCUAAGCUUAAACAUGAUCUGUGCAUCAAAAAACUCUUCAAGUAAUUUCAGCGCAGUUUAAUAUCACUAACACUGAAGUAUGCAAACAAAAGCAGACUAGUUCCAAAACAACAGCAGCAAUAAUAUUCCUACUGUUGUUACUUAGUAUCUAUGGACUUUGUACAGAUUUUUUAGAAAUCAAGCCUCUUGUAGACCCAACAUCAGUAAGACUCAUACUAUGGUUUAAUGUUAUACAUACUGUACAUUACAUCAGUUUAAUUUCACAUGUACUAAAAACACUGUGUGAAGAUUGAGAUUUUGCUGUAUUUUUAGGAUGAUUUUAAUAUUUGCUGCUCGCAGAACUAUUAAUUAAUUUUAAAAGCAUUUCAACUUGGACAUCUGAAAACUGAGUUACCAUGCAAACUAUGUCAUAUCAUGGCACUUUAAAGCAGCAGUGCAAUGUCUGAGACCCCAGGUGCUCCAGCCUCAUUUCACAGUGAUAAGGUACAUGGAACAGUGGCCACCCUUUGUUUUAUGCUUUCACGUUACCAUGGUGGAAUCUAGAGGUGCUACAGCAGCAUGGUCUGCCAGGCAGACUGUGGUAACUUUAUUGCUUUCUUGCCAACAAAUACUGCAUGCUGAUAUCCUUCAGGUCAUUUGAGAAUGGAACAAGUUAAAAUAUGACCUCUUCAUGCUUCCAGUCCUUUCCUGGGUUGUUUUGGUGUAGCUGUAGAACGUUACAAAUUGGGGACCGCGGUUUUGUGACACAAGGAAAAGAGAAUUAGUUCUUCUGCUUAAUUUUAUUUUAAGGGAAGGUGGGAGAAGUAUCGAUCAGAUUACUGCCACUGACAAAAGGCAGAAGGCCAGUCACCUCAUGGGUGUGUAUAACUAUGGGGGAUUCGCUUGCAACCCUCUAUGGAUACCUGCAUCCUCUGCUCCCUUUUCUUCUCUGAAGCACUUGUAUACCAAUGCACACAGCAUGAGGAAUGAACAGGAGGAGCUAGAGAUCUGUGUGCAAUUACAAGGCCAUAACCUCAAAUCCGUCUUGUCUAUGCAACGUUUGUAGUGGUGCUUGGCACAUACUGGCCCCUAGACUGGACCUGAGGAUUGUACCAUGUUUAUUUAGCUAUGUCACUGUAGUCACAGGAAUUGUGCUGAGUUGUUGCUCCAUUAGCAUAGUCUACUUCCAGAACUGCAAAACCUAUCUUAGCACCUCCCGGACCUCUUUUUCUACAGAGAAGUCACACAGGGGUUAGUGCACUAAGGGGCUUAUGCCUAUGGUGCACUAGCUCCUGGUGGGUCUGUGUUCCACUGUAUUUGCCACUGGCUGGCUGCUAGUCUGCAGCUGCUUUGGAUAGUUCUUAAUUUAUAAUACCAUUCAAUGAUACCGUCCACAUAAAAUCCACAUCACUUAAGUAAUACAUAUUUGGAAUAAUUGCCUUUUUCUCAAAAGGGCUAUUUCCCUAGGGCUGUGUUAUCUCAGUGAAGCAGCAUGUUUCAUGCCUAAACUCUACUGUUUCAGUGCAAUUGUAGUACCAUCUUUAAAUGUAGUUUCCAAAUCUACGUGCUCAUCAGGCCUAUCCUGGCACAAAGCUUUACUAUGAGUCAGCUCCUCUGCUCUCCAGUAGUUACCUGUAUUCACUCACAGUCUUCUUCUGUCUUAUCAAGAGAAGUUGCUUUUACUGCCCUUCUGCCUCUUGUACUCUCUGCUGCUGAUUACUUUAAAAAAGGUGUACUUCAUACUUCCUGUCAACAUCAAUAACACAUUUUUGAACAAGACAUUCAAUUCAACCAGAACAGAGAUUGUAUAAAUUCCUGUGACCUUUCAAUGCUUCAGUAAAAUUAAACAUCAAUAAUAGAUGUUUUGUGAUUCUGAUGAGAUGACACAUUUCUGAUUCAGCAAUAUUCAAAGAUUUUCUGUACUGGGAUAAGGACUGUCAGCUCCUGACAUUCCCACUGGUCAGUGGGAAUUACUGAAGCAGUCUCAUACCAGGUUCUGCCAAUGAGUUUUGCUUUAUGGCAUCUGACAUCUGCAGGAGUGCUAACAAAACCUAUAUUUCUCAAACAUAAACAUUUACAGGAUCUCUGCUUUUAGAAGGUAUGUUUAAGUUGUCAUGACAUCCAAAGAACUAGUAGUUUGCCAGAUUUGGUUAUUCUCAUUUUAUUUUUCUCAUAAGGAUAUUUAUAUUCUCAAAUCUCAAUUUUAAUGUCAGGGAACAAAGAGAAAAAACAGGGAAUUCCCUUCUGAGUACACCUGAAUUUCUAAUAGCAGAAUCUUGGUAGUUUUUCACACUCACUGUACCUCCAACUGGCUCAAGAACUUCGAAUGCCUCCAUAUGGUGGAAAAAAUUACACCCCAGCUGUGCUCUUGUGUUCAAAUUUCUGUUAAAACUCAAAAUGUGAGGCUCAUGCCACCCUAUUAUCAAAGCUCAAAAGGCAAACACUCCUUCCCAUGCUAUUUAAAAUAAUACCAGAAUUUAAGUGUGAUUGAUUUAGAACUCUUUUGUAAAUCAGUGAUCUAUGUUAAAGAACUGGUUUUCUGUUGAUUCUGGGUUUGAGCAAAAUCAAGAUUAAAAAAGAUAUGAUAAAAUACUUUACAAUUUACCAUAAUUUAGGAAUAUUUUAACAAGAUCUUUACUGUGCAGUUAUUCCCUAUUAUUCUGUAUUCUAGACCUUAUAUUCAUUUGUACACUAAAGGAACGAUGUAUUCAGAAUUGUUGAUGUUUUAAAGUAUUAGUUCUUUGCUUACAUUCUUGCUAGUUGUUUGGGAUUCCUACUGUUGUUUAUUGGUAGGAAUUUCAUUUUAUCUCAUGCUUUAUUUUUGCUGUUUUCUUUUCCAAAAUGAUCUUAGAGACAAAGCCUGUUAUAUUGCUGUUCAUGUCUGUAACAGUUAAGUAAAUAUAUAUAGUAACCACAUGAUGGAGAGAAUUGUCUUUGUCUUAAGCAUUUGAAACUGUCUGUAAAUGACAUACAUUUUAAAAGAUGAAGGUGACCUGCUGUAUUGCUUACUUCCAGGAAACAAAAGUUUCGGGUAAUUUUUUUUCAUUUUCAGUGGGCAUCUUCUCUUUGUUUUCAUAGUGAAAGUUAAAUGAAGCUAGUAAACAGAGUUUUGAGAAUUUCUCAAACCAGAAAAACAUUCUUUAGCUAUCUUUGAGUCAAAGGCUUGAGAGUAACCAAAAAAUGAGAUGCAGACAUUAUUAGGCAGAUUAUAAUUAGGCUCGCAUGAAUGCAGAAGGAGAGUUAUCUGUUUGAUCCCAUGCAUCCUCUCUGCAGCUGUAUAAAGGAUGGUUACUAUCUCUGUCCCUGCACUCCUAAAGUGGGAAAGAGACUAUGGCCAGCAGUGUUUCCUGCCCAAAUAGAUGGAGUGGACUACAACUCUGUCCUAAUUAAGGCCAGCUGUCACAUUCUACCUGUCACAUGCUCCUAUUUUUUUGAAGUGUGUGGGAGUUGCCAGUUCACCCUUCCCGGAUACACAGAGCAUAUAUGACAUCCCUCAUUGAUGGUCUGUGCCUAAGCUGGAGAACACUGUGCAUUAAAUUCCCAGCAAAUACAUCAGUUUUUCACCAGCCAGUGUCAUAGCUUACUGAACAAGCUUUUAGUAAAGAUACUUAUUUUCAGGCUUGUAUUAAUGCCCACUGAACAAAGUCAAUAGAAAUCAUUGCAUCUCUAGAAGUACCACUCAUUGCAAUAGUAUCAUAAAAAUGAAUCAUCUGCAAGCUGCCUGCGCUUACAGCUGUCUUGCUUAAGUUAUUGGAUGGCACGUUGCCUGCUCAUGUGGUGUUUAGACAUAGUAGAGGGAAUAGGUGUCAGAAAAGAUGAUUUUACUGGGGUAAUUUAAAUAGAACAACAACUGUUAGCUUGUUAGCAAUAAUUUCCCUUUUGGUGACUGAACAAGAAAGUGUUAUUCCCCCAUGAAGCUUUCCAGCCUGCUGGCACGUUCUCCCUGCUCCAGCAUCAGGAAGUUGCAGUGAGUCAGGCUCCAAAAUCGUUCAUGGCUGAGGGCUAUUCUUGCCAGGGAUACCAGCACAUCAAGGAGACAUUUUUCAUCUUACUCAAAGUGUAGUUCUUGCUUGGAUAUCAAAGACCAGGAAAGUACAGAAUAGGAGAUAUUUCCUAGCCAGUGGUGUGUCGUCAUUUCUUCCUUUGUCUCUUUCUGGAUCUAAUUCUCUUUUCAACUGGACUAAGUGUUGUGAAUUUUUUUUUAAACUUCUUGCAUCUUUUGUAAAAACCUCCUCAAAGAAGAUUUCUGAAAAAAAGCAAGCAAAGCCAUGGCCUCUCUUUUUCAGUACUCUGAAUUUUUAUGGAGGAGACACUGACUCCUUUCUCUCAGGUGGGUCAAUUAAUCGCAGGAAUUUGAGUUUAAUUAGCCUCCUCUGCCUGAUUAUUUUUUUUACUUUCCAAAAAAGUUAUAAGUGUAAUUGAAAACAUGAAAAUAAACAGCUCUCACUCAGUUUCUUAUUGUAAUGCAACACAGAACAAACCACUUCUCUACUCCCACUCAAUAUUCAAAGAACAGAGCAUCUCAGAGCACCUGCCACCUUGCAGUAUAGUGCCAUAUGUGAUUAUCCAACAGAUUUAUGUAGAGAUAUUAAAAGCAAACUUAAUGGAGAGAAGAAUGUUUCCUCCUACUGUGGGUUCUGCUUAGCUACCAAAUAAAUGUAUUUGGGUAUAUCCAUGUCCCUUUUGUUGUCUUGUUUAAACUCAAGAUGAAAAAAAACAAGUUAUGUCAGAAAAAG